CCUACGGGUGGCAGCAGUGAGGAAUAUUGGUCAAUGGCCGGAAGGCUGAACCAGCCAAGUCGCGUGAGGGACGACUGCCCUAUGGGUUGUAAACCUCUUUUAUCAGGGAAGAAUAAAUGCUACGAGUAGCAUGAUGCCUGUACCUUAUGAAUAAGCAUCGGCUAACUCCGUGCCAGCAGCCGCGGUAAUACGGAGGAUGCGAGCGUUAUCCGGAUUUAUGGGGUUUAAAGGGUGCGUAGGCGGUCUUUUAAGUUAGUGGUUAAACGUCGGGGCUGCCCCUAGAUUAGCCAUUAAUACUGGAAGUCUCGAGAUCAGGAGAGGUAUGCGGAAUAAGUAGUGUAGCGGUGAAAUGCUUAGAUAUAACGUAGAACUCCGAUAGCGAAGGCAGCAUACCGGACGGCGAGUGACGCUGAGGCACGAGAGCGUGGGUAGCGAACAGGAUUAGAUACCCGAGUAGUC
Molecule: ribosomal RNA, 459 nt
Filed under: uncultured bacterium
Lineage: Bacteria
Description: partial 16S ribosomal RNA
Rfam family: Bacterial small subunit ribosomal RNA
Source: RNAcentral